AUUGAACGCUGGCGGCAGGCCUAACACAUGCAAGUCGAGCGAGCGGCGGACGGGUGAGUAAUGUAUGGGGACCGCCCGAUAGAGGGGGAUAACUACUGGAAACGGAAGCUAAUACCGCAUACUAUCGGAUAACCUAUAUGGGAUUAGCUAGUGGGUGAGGUAAUGGCUCACCUAGGCGACGCCGCCUAGCUGGUCUGAGAGGAUGAUCAGCCACACGGGGACGAAGACACGGCCCAGACUCCGACGGAGGCAGCAGGGGGGAAUAUUUGACAAUGGGCGCAAGCCUGAUGCAGCCAUGCCGCGUGUAUGAAGCAGGCCAUCGGGUUGGAAAGUACAUCUAGUCGUGAAGCGUUACCGAAAGAAGAAGCACCGGCUAACUCCGUGCCAGCAGCCGCGGUAAUAC
Molecule: ribosomal RNA, 403 nt
Filed under: uncultured bacterium
Lineage: Bacteria
Description: partial 16S ribosomal RNA
Rfam family: Bacterial small subunit ribosomal RNA
Source: RNAcentral